UGGGGAAUAUUGGACAAUGGGCGCAAGCCUGAUCCAGCCAUGCCGCGUGAGUGAUGAAGGCCCUAGGGUUGUAAAGCUCUUUCACCGGUGAAGAUAAUGACGGUAACCGGAGAAGAAGCCCCGGCUAAUUUCGUGCCAGCAGCCGCGGUAAUACGAAGGGGGCUAGCGUUGUUCGGAUUUACUGGGCGUAAAGCGCACGUAGGCGGACUUUUAAGUCAGGGGUGAAAUCCCGGGGCUCAACCCCGGAACUGCCUUUGAUACUGGAAGUCUUGAGUAUGGUAGAGGUGAGUGGAAUUCCGAGUGUAGAGGUGAAAUUCGUAGAUAUUCGGAGGAACACCAGUGGCGAAGGCGGCUCACUGGACCAUUACUGACGCUGAGGUGCGAAAGCGUGGGGAGCAAACAGG
Molecule: ribosomal RNA, 404 nt
Filed under: Verrucomicrobiota bacterium
Lineage: Bacteria; Pseudomonadati; Verrucomicrobiota
Description: Verrucomicrobia bacterium partial 16S ribosomal RNA
Rfam family: Bacterial small subunit ribosomal RNA
Source: RNAcentral